GACAGAGGGUGCAAACGUUGUUCGGAAUUACUGGGCGUAAAGCGAGUGUAGGCGGUUCGAUAAGUCGGAUGUGAAAGCCCCGGGCUCAACCCGGGAAGUGCACUCGAUACUGUCGAGCUAGAGUAUCGGAGAGGUUGGUGGAAUUCUCGGUGUAGAUGUGAAAUUCGUAGACAUCGAGAGGAACACCGGUGGCGAAGGCGGCCAACUGGACGAAUACUGACGCUGAGACUCGAAAGCGUGGGGAGCAAACAGG
This 253-nucleotide ribosomal RNA is filed under the name uncultured bacterium. Its description in RNAcentral is "partial 16S ribosomal RNA". It matches the Rfam family "Bacterial small subunit ribosomal RNA", at positions 524 to 776 of the family's 1533-position model. The record is from RNAcentral.